GCGCUUGUAGCUCAGUGGUUAGAGCAGUGGACUCAUAAUCCAUUGGUCGUAGGUUCAAGUCCUACCAGGCGCACCU
RNAcentral lists this transfer RNA (76 nucleotides) under Crocinitomicaceae bacterium. RNAcentral describes it as "tRNA-Met". It matches the Rfam family "tRNA". From Rfam's summary of the family: Transfer RNA (tRNA) molecules are approximately 80 nucleotides in length. Their secondary structure includes four short double-helical elements and three loops (D, anti-codon, and T loops). Lineage: Bacteria; Pseudomonadati; Bacteroidota; Flavobacteriia; Flavobacteriales; Crocinitomicaceae. The record is from RNAcentral.